Molecule: ribosomal RNA, 433 nt
Filed under: uncultured bacterium
Lineage: Bacteria
Description: partial 16S ribosomal RNA
Rfam family: Bacterial small subunit ribosomal RNA
Source: RNAcentral
AACGAACGCUGGCGGCAGGCCUAACACAUGCAAGUCGAGCGGACCCUCCGGGGUUAGCGGCGUACGGGUGAGUAACGCGUGGGAAUAUGCCCUUCUCUACGGAAUAGUCCUGGGAAACUGGGGGUAAUACCGUAUACGCCCUUUGGGGGAAAGAUUUAUCGGGGAAGGAUUAGCCCGCGUUGGAUUAGGUAGUUGGUGGGGUAAUGGCCUACCAAGCCGACGAUCCAUAGCUGGUUUGAGAGGAUGAUCAGCCACACUGGGACUGAGACACGGCCCAGACUCCUACGGGAGGCAGCAGUGAGGAAUCUUAGACAAUGGGGGCAACCCUGAUCUAGCCAUGCCGCGUGAGUGAUGAAGGCCUUAGGGUUGUAAAGCUCUUUCAGCUGGGAAGAUAAUGACGGUACCAGAAGAAGAAGCCCCGGCUAACUCCGUG